Non-coding RNA from Candidatus Micrarchaeota archaeon CG1_02_49_24, 3255 nucleotides. Lineage: Archaea; Nanobdellati; Microcaldota. The record is from Rfam.
GGUUGCAGAAUCAUAGACCAUUUGGUGGAUGGCUUGGCUCUGAUGAUGCGCGCCGUGGCAAGCUGCGAUAUGCCUCGGGGAGAAGCAUGCAUUCGAUAAUCCGAGGGUUGCGCGCAACGCGGGAAAUUGAAACAUCUUAGUACUCGCAGGAAAAGAAACCAAACUAGGCAUUCGGGUAGUAACGGCGAGUGAACCCCGAGAAGGGCAAACUGAAUCCUUUGCAGCAAUGCAGGGGAGAUGUGGGCAUCUCAACCAUCCGUUGUGUUAGCUGAGGUCUCCUGGAAAGGAGCGCCACAGAGUGUGAUAGCCACGUAGGCGGAGCACUGCGGAGGGGGAUGCAGAGAGUAGCGCUGCCCGGAUUGGUAGUGUGAAUAUGGGAGCACUAGCUCCUAACCCUAAAUAGCCUUCAGAGACCGAUAGCGAAUGAGUAGCGCGAGCGAACGCUGAAAAGGACCCCGGGAGGGGUGUUAAAAGAGCCUGAACCCAAAUGGUUACAAUUUGAUGCAGUGUGAAAGGAAUGCAGCGUGCCGAAGUAAAAGCCCGCGAGGGCCCGAGCGAGGCAUGCGAAGCAGCAUUGCAUCUUCCUUCUCUAAGCAAGGACCAGGGAGUGUAAUGUAGUGGCAAGGCGAGAGCCGGAGCGAAAGCAAUGGUGCGCAGGAAACAAGGCACAACCUUUGAAAAGGGGUAAGUCACUAUGUUACGACCCGAAGCUGAUGUGAACUACACGUGAGCAGGGCGAAGCCAACCCGAAGGUUGGUAGAGGCCCUCAACCGCUACUGGUAUAUCCGUUCGGGUGACUUACGUGUAGGGGUGAUAGUCCUAUCGAACUCAGCAAUAGCGGGUUCCCUCCGAAAUAUCUCUCAGGAUAGCCCUGUUUGAGGAAGAUCACGCGGUAGAGCACUGAUUAUGAGGAACGGGAUCGAAAGGUCUCGCCUUGUUAUCAAACGAGCCCUUUUUCUUUUGUAAAAGAAAAAGCCCUCGGGGAAAAAGAAAACAUUUACCCCAUAUUGAAUGGGCAUUUUUUCAAAAAUAUAAAAAGGGUUUGGGUGAAACUCCGAAUGCGUUUUCUCCGUAGACGACAGGAGUCGGGGGUGGCGGGUAAGCUGCCGCCCCGUAACCGGAUCAACGGUGCCUUGGGUUAAGGCCCAUAAUACUCGGUUAAGUGUAAGGAGUAAAGAACUCAUUUUUCUUAGACAGUCGGGAGGUAGGCUCAGAAGCAGCCAUCCUUUAAACAACGCGUAAUAGCGGACCGGCCGAGAAAAAUGGCUUUGAAGAUAAACUGGGCUCAAACCGAGAGCCGAUACCCAAGAGGAUUAUCGAAAGAUAAUUUUGGUAGGAGGGUGAACUUGCGGGGCAGAAGCAUGGCCGUGAGGUCAUGUGGACCUGCAAGUUAUAAAUAUCCUGGUGUUAGUAACAGCAUAUCCAGGUGAGAAUCUUGGACGUCGAAUGCACACGGGUUUCUCGGCAAUGUUUGUCAGCUGAGAGUUAGGCGAUCCUAAGGUUGACGGUAAUUCCAGUCAACCAAAAGGGAAAGCGGUUAAUACUCCGCUCCCAUAUGGGUAGGCGUGGUAACACAAGCCACACUUAUGACGCCUUUGGGUAGACCGGCUUGUUAACUACUAUAGGCCUGCAGAGACUCAUGAUGAGGAGAAGCAGGCUAAAUGUAUAUCGGUUGAUCCCGGGGGCCCAUGAAAAGUAAGCGUGGAACGAUCCCAUGUGACCGUACCUAGAACCAGUACAGGUGUUGCUGGCUGAAAAAGCCAAGACGUGUCAGGAGAACUUAGGUUAGGGAACUCGGCAAGAUAGCCCCGUACCUUCGGUAUAAGGGGUGCCUGAAGUCGCGAGACUACAGGUCGCAGUAACAAGGGGAGGCCGACUGUUUAUCAAAAACACAGAUCAUAGCAAGGUCGUAAGGCCAUGUACUAUGGUCGACGCCUGCUCACUACCGGUACGUGAAACCCCACUUCAAUGGGACUAAGCGCCGGCAAAGAGCGGGGGUAACUCUGACCCUCAACAAAGGGUGUGUUUGGAUGAACAGAAGCUAAAAGUGGCGCCAAAGUAUUACGCAAAUGGCCUAUAGGGGGUCGUUAAAUUCGGCUGUAUGCUGGAAACCCAGAGCCAACAGGUCCAUAAGCCAGCGCGGCGAAUGGAAAAAUCCUGGAGGCAAUGAGGGCAAUCAGCAGGAAACUUCAGCAAAUGCAGGAGGAUCCUCAGAGACUAUACGCCGAACAUCCGCAGUUGCGGAUGAUGAUAUAGUCCGACACUCCAAGUAAUUGGAGAUUUUUUAACAAAUAGCUUAAGGUAGCGUAAUACCUCGCCGCUUAAUUGGCGGCUUAGGAAAGAAUUCUUGCAAAUGCAAAUAUUGAUAGAAUGAGCUCUUUCCGCCGAUGCAUGAAUGGCGUAACGAGCCUCCUACUGUCCCAACCUAGGACCUGGUGAACUCACUACACUGUGAAUAUGCAGUGUACUUCCAGUGGGAAACGAAGACCCCGUGGAGCUUUACUAUAGUCUGCACUUGUGGUAUUUUGAAUGAUGCGCAGCGUAAUUGGGAGCCGUCAUGUUGCACCUUGCGGGGUGCAAAUAGGCAACAAUGUAACACCAAUCUUCAUUUAGACUACUGCUUACCGAAAGGAACAGGUACAGAUGGAUAGUUUGGCUGGGGCGGUACGCCCUCGAAACGAUAACAAGGGCGCCCAAAGUUCUGCUUAGGCGGGUCAGAAAUCCGCCGUUAAGGGUCAAAGACAAAUGCAGGAUUGACUGUAUUCCUAAACGCAUGGGAUGCAGAGGCGAAAGCCGGGCUUAGCGAACCUUAGAGUCCCCGCUAGUGGGGGCCUAAGCUGUCAGACAAGCUACCCCGGGGGUAACAGGCUCGUCGCGGGCGAGAGAUGGUAAAUCUCCGCCUUUUUAGAUUGUGCCUAUCCCAAUAAUUGGACUGAAGAUAACUCCUAAAAAAUAUCUCUGUCCUACUGGAUAAAUACGAACGAAAUCGUCGAUGGCGUUUCGCAAUCUAGCUAAUAUAUCAUAACCAGGCGAUGGGACAUUUAUGGAGAUUCUCCACUCAAAUACCCAUCGACCCCGCGGUUUGGUACAUCGCUGUCGGCUCAGGUCAUCCUGGCGGUGCAGGAGCCGCCAAGGGUUGGGUUGUUCAUCCAUUAAAGACCUACGUGAGCUGGGUUCAGAACGUCGACUUAGGCGUUGCAUAGCCGUAAGGCUAUGAAAAAUUAAAUUGGCUCAUAUCGGUGAACCCUUGACCUC